CCCUAUGGGGUGCAGCAGGUACGAAACCUCCGCAAUACACGAAAGUGUGACGGGGUUACCCAAAGUGUUCUUAUUGAACUGUGGCAGGUGAGUAAUGUCCCCUGCUAGAAAGGAGAGGGCAAGGCUGGUGCCAGCCGCCGCGGUAAAACCAGCUCUUCAAGUGGUCGGGAUAAUUAUUGGGCUUAAAGUGUCCGUAGCCGGUUUAGUAAGUUCCUGGUAAAAUCAGGUAGCUUAACUAUCUGUAUGCUAGGAAUACUGCUAUACUAGAGGGCGGGAGAGGUCUGAGGUACUACAGGGGUAGGGGUGAAAUCUUAUAAUCCUUGUAGGACCACCAGUGGCGAAGGCGUCAGACUGGAACGCGCCUGACGGUGAGGGACGAAAGCCAGGGGAGCGAACCGGAUUAGAUACCCGGGUAGUCCUGGCCGUAAACGAUGCAUACUAGGUGAUGAUACGGCCAUGAGCCGUAUCAGUGCCGUAGGGAAACCGUUAAGUGUGCCGCCUGGGAAGUACGGUCGCAAGGCUAAAACUUAAAGGAAUUGGCGGGGGAGCACCACAAGGGGUGAAGCCUGCGGUUCAAUUGGACUCAACGCCGGGAAACUUACCAGGGGAGACAGUAGAAUGAAGGUCAGGUUGACGCCCUUACCCGACGAGCUGAGAGGAAGUGCAUGGCC
Molecule: ribosomal RNA, 671 nt
Filed under: uncultured marine benthic group B euryarchaeote
Lineage: Archaea; Methanobacteriati; Methanobacteriota
Description: bacterial SSU rRNA
Rfam family: Archaeal small subunit ribosomal RNA
Source: RNAcentral